Molecule: long non-coding RNA, 2474 nt
Organism: Dasypus novemcinctus (nine-banded armadillo)
Lineage: Eukaryota; Metazoa; Chordata; Mammalia; Cingulata; Dasypodidae
Source: Ensembl
CAUUCACUCACAUGCACACGCUCAGGCACACAUGCGCACACAGCCUGCACACACUCAUACACAUUCACACACUCAUAGUCACACCUGCACGCUCACACACACUCAUGCUCAUGCCUGCACAUUUACACUUUGACAUACUUUGCUCACUCCAUGCACACACUUUCACACAGGCGUGCGUGCUCACACACAUGCUCUCGCACAGUCACCGGCCCCCAGGCCCCGCCACACCAUGUGCCCGGCUCCUGCUGCCCCCAGUAAAGGCGACUCUCUUCCAUUCAUGCGGCCAGUUCGUGGACAUCCAGCCCAGCGACGGCUUCGGGACGGUCCAGCCGCUGGAGAGCCUCCUGCUCGACGUGCUCUUCCAGCCCUCCAAGGCCCGGGAGUACAGCUUCGAACUGGUCUGCAAGUCGGAGAUCAACCGGCGUGGGCCAGCCUUCCAUCUGAGACAAGACUCCAGCAUCCCAGAACGCUGCGAGCCCUGAGCGAACUUGGACUUCACGCAGUCGCUCCCCUGCCUUACCCCUCGCUCCGUGCGAAAGCUCGCACAGAAACACAGUGUCAGUGACAAUUCAACACAUGACGCUGGGGCAACUGGAAAUCCACUUUAAAAGAAUGCAGUUGGACCCUAUCUCAAACCAUAAGCAAGAAUUAAUUCAAAAUGGCCUAAUGACCUAAAUACAAGAACUGAAACAGUAAAACUCUGAGAAGAAAACAGGGAAAUCUUCAAAAUUUUGUAUUUGGCAAUAGAUUCUUCGUCAGCACAAACAACAAAAGAAAACAAACUGGGCUUCAUCAAAAUUUAAAAUGUUGGGGAAGUGGACUUGGCCCAGUGGUUAGGGCAUCUGCCAACCACAUGGUGAGAUUCAAGGUUCAAACCCCGGGCCUCCUUGACCCGUGUGGAGCUGGCCCAUGCGCAGUGCUGAUGCGCGCAAGGAGUGCCGUGACACACAGGGGUGUCCCCCACAUAGGGGAGCCCCACACGCAAGGAGUGCGCUCUAUAAGGAGCGCCACCCAGCGCAAAAGAAAGUGCAGCCUGCCCAGGAAUGGCGCCGCACACACAGAGAACUGACACAACAAGAUGACGCAACAAAAAGAAACACAGAUUCCCGGGGCCGCUGAUAAAGAUAGAAGCAGUCACAGAAGAACACACAGCGAAUAGACACAGAGAGCACACAACUAGGGGAGCGGAGGGGAAGGGGAAAGAAAUAAAUUAAAAAAAAAAAAAAAGAAAUCCUACAACUCACCAACAGAAAAACAACCCAAAUUAAAAAUGGGCAAAGGACUCGAAGAGACACGUCUCCAAAGAAGAUACAGAAAUGGCCAGUAAGCACAUGAGAAGAUGCUCAGUAUCAUUAGCCAUUAGGAAAAUGCAGAUCAAAACCACAGUGAGAAACCGCUUCACACUCACUGGAUAGCUGUUUUUUCCUAAGUAGAAUAUCACGUUGGGGAGGGUGCGGAGAGACUGGUGGGCGUGUACAGUGGGUGCUGGUGUGGGGAACAGUAUGGUAGUUCCUCAAAAUGCUGAACCUAAAUGCACCAUCUGACCCAGCUACUGAAAAUGAAGAUGCAGACAGAUACUUGUAGCAUUACGUUCUUAGCAGCAUUAGUCAUUACUGCCAAAGGAUGGACACAGACCGAUGAAUGGAUGGACAAAAUAUGGCUUACCCACUCCGUGGAAUAUUAUUCAGCCAUAAAAAGGAAUUUCCCAUGCAGGCUACAUGUGGAUGAACCUUGAAAACAUGCUACAUGGAAGGACAAAUAAGUACGAUUGCACUUACAUGAAAUAUCCAGAAUAAGCAAAUUCAUUGAGACAGAAACUGGAUUUGGGGUUCCUGGUGCUGAGGGAGGAGGCACGGGGGGUCGUGUUUAAUGGGUGCAGGGUCUCUGGGGUGAUGAGAUAAUUUCCAGAAUGAACAGUGGUGAUGGCUGCACAACACUGUGAAUGUAAUCAACGCCACCAAACUGUCCACUUAAAAAUGUUCAAACGUAAAAGAUAAAAACAAUAAAAGGAAAAAAAUGUUAAGAUGUCAAUCUUAACUGUGUAUAUUUUACCACGGUAAAAUUUAUUAAAAAUCACCCCAUCAAUGUAACAACAAGGACGUGCAACUGGUCGUCGGCCGUCCCCGCGCUCUUGUGCACACGGACGAGGCAUGUGGCGCCGCACGCCAUAGCUUCUCGUCACAGCGGCCCCGGCCCGGCCCACGCCCGCCGGCCCCUGGCUUUCCCCGGUCUUGCUAGCCUUCUGGCCCUGUGUGAUGUCCCUAAGAGCUCUGCCCCUCUCCCUGACUUCUUACAUGUCGUUGGCCCCUUGCCUGCAGCCUUUUAUCCUUGGGAGUCGGUUUAGCUGAAGAUAAAAUCUUUGAUCUGUGUUUUUUUUCCCCCCUGCUCCUCCUGACCGUGUUCACGCCCUGCCUUCUGGGCGAAAGCCUGGCCGCCAGUGUCUGAUGCCAAUCAAAAUUUCUUUUUGUCUGGAU